AUACUUACCUGGACGGGGUCAAUGGUCGAUCGUGAAGGUCCAUGGCCUAGGCUGGUGACCUCCAUUGCACUUUGGAGGGGUACCUGCCUAAGAUCGGCCCAAGUGGUCGAGUCUACGUCAUAAUUUGUUGCUGAGGGGGCCUGCGUUCGCGCGGCCCCUGC
This is a non-coding RNA of Solanum tuberosum (potato), 161 nucleotides long. NCBI's taxonomy places the organism in Eukaryota, Viridiplantae, Streptophyta, Magnoliopsida, Solanales, Solanaceae. The record is from Rfam.